Long non-coding RNA from Chelonia mydas (Green sea turtle), 8438 nucleotides. RefSeq lists it as uncharacterized. Lineage: Eukaryota; Metazoa; Chordata; Testudines; Cheloniidae. The record is from RefSeq and is a predicted model, not a curated record. The transcript has 3 exons.
AGCGUCCUCAUUGGCUGGGGACGCUACCAAUCGGGAAGCGCAGGGAAGAGGCUGGAGCGGCGCGUGUCCGGCUGCCGGGCCUCGGAGAGCUCCCGGGCCGCUCCCUGCGCUGCAGGCCCCCGGCCUUUGAUAACGGACUUCUUACCUCAUCACUGCUCCAUCUAUUGGGGAAUGAAGGACGGAGCUUCUUGAUGCACACAACUUCCCGCAUGUCCUCAUAGGAGGGGUCAGUGGGCACAAGAUCAUAGUAUGGAAGCUGGUAUUCUUCAACUAUUCCUGAAAGAAACAUUUUCCAGAUGCAUCAUAACUGCAGGAUAAAAGGAUGUCUGCACUGUAUCAACUACACCCUCUUAUAGACACGAUCCAUGCAAGCUAUUCUGUACUAUUAUCUUAUGGGUCUUAUCUUAUUAUAUUAUGGGUCACUAUCCUAGGAAAUGUGGAAAAGUCUAAAACAGCAAUGGGAGGGGCUCUCCCCCAAGGUUAGUUUAUUGCAACCGCAACCAAAUGAACAAUAUGUUUGUCAUUUACCUCCCGACACACCUCUCCUUGCUACCUCCCAAAGGAUGAGUCCAAAACUGUACAUAUCAGCCAUGAUAUACGACUGGAAGUGAUUCCUAUUCAGGCUUUCAUCCAGCACCUCAGGAGGCAUAUAGCGCUUUGUUCCUACCCGGGUGUUUGGUGGUAUGUCCACCUCAUUUGUAUCACUAAAAGAAAAAAAGGAUCAAACAAACAUAACUUGUGGCACCUUAGAAACGAAGUGAGCUACAGCUCACUUCUAAAGAGCAAUAAAUGGUUGGCUCUAAUACAUGCGCUGAAUUUGAUUUGUAGGAAAUGAAACAAAAAGCAGCACAACCAGCGUACUUUUCAAUACAUCCCAAUUAAUUAGUUACAUGGGCAGAUUAUUUGUUGGAUCACAAAUUUAACACUCCGCCCUCCAUCCCGGUCUCUGCUCUCUCAGCAUGCAGUAAUAUACAACUAUAAACUCAGGGUUGUGACACACAGAAAUUUGUUACUCACCUAAUAAAUUUAACUGCCAAGCCCAGGUCUGCUAUACAGCAGGUUCCAUUCUUUUUCACGAGAAUGUUCUUACUUUUCAGAUCACGGUGGGCAAUAGCUGGUUUGCCUUGAGUACUGAAGAUCUCAGUGUGCAAGUGGCACAAGCCACUAACUGAGGAAUAGGCCAGUUUUAGCAUGGCUUUUGUAUCCAAGGUAGUGGAUUUCAGAUAAUCGUACAGGGAGCCAUUCUCAUGGUAGUCUGUGAUAAGAUACAGUUGGGUCCAAGACCCUGUACCUUUAAUGUCUGCAGCAAUGAACCCUGUGGGGGGGGAAAUAUUUUCAGAUUAAUAUUUUUCGGGGCUUUUGAACACCACACACUUAAAAAUGUGGAUUAUACUGCCUGAAAAAAGUCUGCAAUAAUUACUCCGAGUGAUUGUAUGGCUAUAUUAAGAACAGCCCCUGCUAAAAUUUAUCAAUGCUUUCUGUCUAAUCCCCAGAUUAAGGGUUAAACCUGCGCAAGGGGCAAGGUCUGCUCAGUUCUUGGUCACUCCAGGGAUGAGACAUACUUCCCGGCAUAGCGUGGCCCAACAUCGCCCCCUACAAAGAGCUCUGCUACAUGGUGUUGUUUUUUAAAAAACCCCAGAUGCAGGUGGGAGAAACAGGUGUAUGGUUGUUGGGGAUUACAGCCUCCCAAAUCCAGAUACUCUCUAUCUGCAGGGAGACCCUUAAAAUUAUUUUGCAUGAAGAAAAGGACAUCAGCAAAUACAAAGUUAUUACUGAGAAUAAUGAAGAAACAUUUCACUCGCUUACCCAAAAUGUUUUCAUGCCUCAUCAGGACAGUCUGAUAGAUUUCUGUCUCUCUGAACCAGCUGGCCUCCUCAGUGGUGAAGAACACUUUUACAGCUACCUUUUCUCCACGCCACUUUCCCAUCCAAACUUCUCCAUAGCGACCUUUCCCUAUCUGUUUCACCAUCUGAAUCUGCUUUGCUAUAGUCCUUUGGACCUGUUAAAUCCCAAGAAAUACAGUUUAAAUAUACUCCUCAACAGGUGUGUUUCAUCUCUCUUUGUCUGUCUCCUUCUCGCAUGCUAAAACAUAGGAACCCUCGCACAAAGAGCUGGAAUGCACGGGCCUCGCACAGAGUUGGGAGAGAUGGAAUCUCCCGCUGCUUCCCAGAGAAUGGAGUACUCGCGCGGGCACUCUGGUAGUCUGGCCACACCUAUAAGCACACGUGACUUUAUGCCAGUGGAUCAGCAUAGGCAUAGAUCUACCUGACAGUUUCAAACAUAGGAGCUUAAAGUCAGGAUCCCCAAAAAACCCGAAUUAGCAUCCUAGGAAACGUUAAUGCUAAAUGAAAAGUUCUGGAAAAAAAAUCAAUUUGGAAUGCAGCAUUUGGAUAUUUCCAAACUGAAACAAAAUAUAUUGAUGAGUAGGCCAGAGGGGAGACACUGGUGCGUCAUGGAAGAUACAGUCCAACCAGGGAGUCUAGCCCUUAGGCAAAUGGAAAAAUUUCAGCAACAUCAACAUUUUCCAAUGGAAACCACAUUGACUUGAAAAAACAGGGACAAAAUUCCCAACCAGCUCUAGGAACUGCCCUGAUUUUUCAAAAUGCCGUGUACCCAGCAGCUCUCAUUGACUUUAACAGGAGACAAUAGAAGAUGCUCAGCGCCUUUAAGAACCACAGCUGGGAUUUUCAGACGUGUCAGCCCCCAACAACGAGUGAAGUUUACUGAGUCUCUCUCAAAAAUCCUACCCCGGUUUUUAAUUAUGAGCCCACAUAUGGAUUUGGGAGCUGAAUUCUGGGCUCCUAUUUGUAAAAAUGUCAGCCACAAGUUUUUAGUUAGAGUUUGCUAAAACGCAGGCGUUAGGAAGCCUGGGUGGCUACAAACAUAUCAUUAUUAUUCAUAAAGAGUAUUUUUCUCCGAAACAUUAAUUUAGGAGCACAGCGUAAAAUCUGUGUUUAUGCACUGACAUCAGUUUCAUCAAGUAGCUUCGCUCUAAAUAAAAGCUAGAUUCAAAGCACCUGCUGACAUAUACCAGAAGUUUCGCGCAGCCGACAGCACCGCAGAGUAAUUUCUGAUGAGGAUGACAGAUCAGACACAGAGUUAAGGAAGACUGACCGCUCAUACACUCAGCAACUAAACCUGUUAUGACUAAAAAAUCCACCUUGGGCGAUUACAGACUAACUUACCCUCUUAGGAAUGAGACAUGUCUGGAGGCUAUAUAUUCUGAACAAUUCACAGAAGAAAACUAGAGUAAAAGUUGUGAUCCAGCCUACAAAUGCAUGAAUGUUCACAGCUCUAUUUCCCAGUCACAAGACAGUACAAUAGAAUAUUGAAAUGGCAACCGCUGGUGCCUCAGUAUUACCUGUUCAAUCCUGAGCCGAAACGUUCUGGCUUUUGUAGGAAAUAUUUUAAAACAAAAUUUUGUAAUUGAGUCCAGUGCAGUUGCAUCUUUCUGCACCAGGCAUUAUAUUUAAAUAUUAAAGUAUAGAUUUUGCCUUCGCCCAUGUAAAACUCUGAUGAAAUUCAAUGCACUCAAAUAGCAGUGUUAUCUGAACGCUUAAUGAGUUACAUUAAUUCAAUGUCCUCCCAAAACAUUCUGAUAAACAAGGCUGCUAAAAAUAAAUAUUCAAAACUGGAUUUCAAAAACAAUUUGCUACGCUUUCAUUUUCUCUGAAACUGACCGCAAUUCAGUGCAAGCUGUCACAUUCCUAAUGAACACAGACCAGGUCUGAAAUGGUUCAGCUCCAGUCUGAAUGCAUGUGAAACCUGUCAGGUGAGGUCUGUUUUCAUUUAUGUUAAACUAUGAUGUUUAAACUAUUUUUAAAUGGAAAAAAUAACCGAACCUGUGUAACAACAACUCUGCAAGUUCCUUUUCUCUGAUUUGCAUGCAAAUGGAAGCUGAAUUUUUACAGACCGAGUAUGUAUUAUCACACUAUCCGAUGGUGGCUUCAGUGCAGUUAUUUUGAUUUACACCAGUGCAAGCCAAGAACAGAAAUUGAGCUUAAGUUGUUUUUAAACUGGUUUAUUCUCCUUUAUACUUUGAAGUAGUGACUGAACAGUUCUAUUACACUGGAAUUUUUCUUUCACAUUUUGUAAUAUAAUUUUAGCGUUGUUGCUUUCCAAUUUUCCUACUUUAAAGAAUACAUCCUGAAAAAUAAUGGAAUUAUAUUGUAUAACUUAAUUUGUGUAAAUAUAUGUAAUGGCAUCAUAAAGCACAUGCAAUUGCCAUAUUUAAUGAUGAAAAGUUCCUGAUUAAAUUAUAUUAAGAAAAUGAAAAUCACAUUUCUGUUAUGAGUUUUCAAAAGGCGGAAUACUACAUGGAAGACCUUAAGUUGGUUUCUUCCUACUAGAGCUGGUCAAACUAUUUUGUUCAGUUUAUUUUAUUUCAUGCAUUUAGUUCUUUUUCUGUUCAUAAAUGGCUUGUGAUGUUUAAAAAUAUGCUUGUUAUUCUAAAUUGUUUGACAAACAAAUUUUACAAACAUUGUUAUGGAUUGAUUGUAAACUGUUCACAGUGAACAGUCCAUUCAGUUUUCAAUAUUUGUAUUUUUCUACACAAACAUUGACACUGGUCAGUUAAGGAAAUAGGACAUUUUGCUUCUCUUCUCUGACGGGAUGAGCUAAAUAUUUACAAACUACUUCCGCUGUUGCUUGAAUAGAAUUUUGUUUUGUCACAAAAGCGGUUUUGCAUCAUGAAUGAAAACAUCUCGGCGAAAGGCACAAAACUUGCUGUUUGUAAAAUUCAUACAAAGUUUUGGUCACACGAACGUUUGUGACCAGAGAAUUUUGCGACCAGAACUGUGAUGCGUUCAAUCAAAAACCAACCAGUAUUUAUACAUGUAAUGAUAAAAAUGUACGAGUAAGAUUAAUUGAACGUCCUGUGUCUGUUGUGGCAAACUCCACGAGCUAUUGAAACAGCUCUACCUUCGUAUACCUUGAAAAUGGCUUGGUUCUGUGCUUUUGGCCCUGGUUUUGCAGCUUCUUGGAGGCCCAUUGAGGUAAAUGGAGCUCUGCCUGGAGGCAGAGAUUUGCCUGUGUAACCCAGCUUGCAGGGUAGGAACCUUUAUUUACAAAUUUUUAAAACGCUUCAGCAGGGCUUAGAAGUUGAAUGGCAACAUUCAACCUGCAGCAAACUUUUAUGCUAGAGAUACAAUCACCUAAAAAAGGCACCCAACGGCUCACAGUGGUUUCUCACAGCAACAUUUACACUACCUUAAAUAUAUGGGCUUGACUAAGAGCCACCAUAUAAUUAUAAAUAAUACAAGUAAAUCUGAGAGAGAAAAUGAACAAGGUUGAAUGUCAGAGAAACGAUAGUAUCUUGGUUAAGGUUUGGCUUUGUUGUAACCUUUGUAUCCGAUAUAAUAAGCGAGCUACAAAAGAAAGACAAUAUUGUUUAUCAUAAACUGACAUUUUACAAGUUCUGAAAAAAAAAAUGGUUUGCUUUCUCUGAAACAACUUUAAAUGUUUUCUAUUGAAACAAAUAAUAAAGAAGCUGGACAUAAACACUUUUAAAAUGAAGGAUAGUGUUUUUCACCAGACUUCAUUGUGCGUAUUUGUUACAGGCAUGGGCGUCCCCUCUUGGACAAUAAGUAUCAAUCCAUGCACUUCUAAGCUGCCUAUUGCUGUGAUAACUAUCUGACAAACAUAUCUUAUUGUGUUCACCAUAGCAAAAGCUUUAGGGCUGCAGUGCAACUUCCCCAUCAUGAACCUGUUUUCACAGUCUUACAAUUGUCUUAGAAAAUCACUGUUUGCGGUAAAAGUUUGAGGAAAACCUGUUUAUGACUUUUUAGUUAGGCAAAGGGGCAGGAGGAAGCGAGGAAUAUUUCCUGAUUUAUAAAAGAAAUUACAGGCAGGGCAAACAGAGCCCCAGCAGCUGAAUUCUACAUGCUCUCAGCAGCAGAUCCUGCAGUCUGCUGAAGAGAGUGGGGCUCACGCUGCCAAUGGGAUCAAAGGACCUGGACAGUUUGACGGUUAACCCACCCUACCUAUGCCCAGUUUAAAAAAACAACAACAAAACUUAGGGAGGUGGGUAAAAACACAUUUGGAAAAACCAUAUUGCUCCAACCAGCUCUACUUUUUCUUCUUUUAUUUCUGUCAUUAAAAGCCUUAGGAAACUAAGUGCAAAAAUCUACAUUAAGGCUGUGUUAAGGCUAUGGAGUAUACGGUAAUAUUCUGUGUCCUGAUUCGAAAUGCAGCAGCCCAUCUGCUUAGCAAUCUGGGUUGCUGUGAACGCAUUCAGCCCAGUACUCUGCUCUCUGCACUGGAUCCCCAAUGAAUGUAGAAUCCAGUUUACAGUCUAUGGCCUGUUUUCCUACUGCCUCCAUGGAAAUGCCUUUGGCUACCUGAGAGAUUGACCCUCUCAUGCAAUGGCUAUGAUCUCCCUUGACAGCUAUGUUUCACUGGAACAAUGAAACUGCCGGUCAAUACAGAGAGGUUUGUGAGAGCGGCAGACAGAGCUUUCGUAGGAGCUGGAUCUACACAAUGGUGCUCAUGACCACGCCCGGUAAGAAUAACUCCGGACGUCACCAUUUUUGGAAUCAAUUGCAAAGCUCAUUCUGCUGCUCAUCUGUCUGUCAAUGGUCAUGUUGACAUUUGGAAAACCGUCUGUGUUUCAAAACAUAACAUUUUAAUUAAUAUGAUUUUAAACAGGACUUCGCAGCUACUAGAGACUGGACAAGUUGUAUUUAAAAGCAAGUUAGUUGGUUGUGGUCAAUCCUAAACUCCCUCCCUAGUUUCAACACAUUGUAAAACAUGACCUACACUCUUGGUCUAGACGUGGCCAAUAAGUUAAUAUAAAUGUGAACAAAUUGAGCUAUUCUCAUUUAGGCAGUGAAAGAAGAAAGAAAGAGUAACAGUUAUUGUUAUUUCUAUCUUUAAGUAUUCGGAAGUUGCUCAGAUAUUACGGUGAUGCAUGCUUUAUAUGGAGGUAGACAGGAGCGAUGUAUAACUUCUCAGCUAUGCAUUUUGAAAAUUACAAGAAAAGAAAUGACUCGUUUUAAAAGGUAGUUUUUAAAAUAAGUAUCUUGAGUCUUCUGCGAUGCCAGGAAGUGCAGGAGGUCCAAGGUUGUCAGGUUAUCAGAAAACUAAAACACAGAUGAAUGGAAAAGCCAUGAGCUUUACUCUGAAAUCUAAACCUUCUCGCUGAAACGGAACCUUCUUUAGUACAUUGGGUCUCGGUCACAGUUACAUUUGAGACAACUUAUACAUGUUAUACUCUAUUCAAUUGGCAUACCUUUAACCUACAAGACUUUUGUCGCGCAAAAUACAGUGAUUAUACUCUAAGUUUUUUAAUGCUAAGUGAAGCCAAGGUGUAAAAGGAUUCCACGUAACCAUCCUGUCUCUAAAAAUAAUGUAACUGUGUGUUUAUAAAAAGCACCACAUCUAAGCUUGUAGGCCGGAUUCUGAUCUCAUUUACACUGGUGUAAAUCCAGAUAAAUCCCACUGAAGUCUAUGGGGCUAAUCCGGAUUUAUGCUGGUGUUCCUGAGAUCAGAUGCAGAUCCUGGUACGUGAAAUAAAGAGCUCUGAUUCUUAAGUAUUUAUUCUGCAACUGAUAUCCUCGUCAUUUCUGCAGACAGACAACCAGAACCUAAUUCUUGCUACACAUACUAACGUAAUUCCUAUAAAUCCCCUUGAAUUUUUAUGAUGGGGGUGUCUUUGCCUUAUAGAGUUAUGUGUGUAUCUAAAUUACAUUCCUUUCUUACCAGCAGAGGGAGCCCAGACCCACUUCCUGAGCUCUGAGACUGUUCAAUCAAGUCUUUCAGGGAUUCCCCUGGAGGAAUUUCAUAAGCCGGGGUGGGGGUGUGAUGUUGGGAAGAAAUGUGAAGCAGACGACGCUUAAAUACUUCCGGCUUACCUGAAGUAACAGAAUAUGAUGAUAAGCACCAGGAGUAUACUGCAAACAGUCACUGAGAUCAGCAAGGCCUUAUGGUGAAUGUUUCCUUCAACAAAAUCUGAUUUAAAAAAUAAAAAAAGCUCUGUACAAUGGCUGUAUUUUUGUCUUAGAAGUCAGCACUACUCUCUAAUACCUGAGAUGCCUUUCACAUUAGGUUGGGUGUAAAAUGCAUUCUGCCUUCCUCGGUUUAGUUUCACAUGUAAAAAGACAUACAAGAAUUUAUAAAUCUAUUAAGCAACAGAAUUGUCCCCUUUCUUUUCGACUUGUUUAACGUUGUGUAACGUAUUACUUGAUUUCAGAGCCAUUUUAUGUGCUCCUUCUUCAGCCCUCAUCCAAUGGGGCAAACAUAGCACAUGGAACAGCAAUCGAGGGCCUGACUGACCCUGAAGUCUUUACUCAGACAAAGAUCUCACUGGUAACCCUGGCACUUUUGACUGCGUUUGCAAGGGAGUAUUUUAGCCCUUCAUGACCAACCCGCUAGCCCCCCACCCCCUCAAACCUGGGAUUUAUAUAGUCCUGUAUCUUACAUAUCUUGUCAGCUAGGACACA